This 252-nucleotide ribosomal RNA is filed under the name uncultured Gardnerella sp. RNAcentral's name for it is "partial 16S ribosomal RNA". It matches the Rfam family "Bacterial small subunit ribosomal RNA", at positions 103 to 355 of the family's 1533-position model. Lineage: Bacteria; Bacillati; Actinomycetota; Actinomycetes; Bifidobacteriales; Bifidobacteriaceae. The record is from RNAcentral.
CGGGUGAGUAAUGCGUGACCAACCUGCCCCAUGCUCCAGAAUAGCUCUUGGAAACGGGUGGUAAUGCUGGAUGCUCCAACUUGACGCAUGUCUUGUUGGGAAAGUGUUUAGUGGCAUGGGAUGGGGUCGCGUCCUAUCAGCUUGUAGGCGGGGUAAUGGCCCACCUAGGCUUCGACGGGUAGCCGGCCUGAGAGGGCGGACGGCCACAUUUGGACUGAGAUACGGCCCAGACUCCUACGGGAGGCAGCAGCA